RNAcentral lists this ribosomal RNA (492 nucleotides) under uncultured bacterium. RNAcentral's name for it is "partial 16S ribosomal RNA". It matches the Rfam family "Bacterial small subunit ribosomal RNA", at positions 29 to 507 of the family's 1533-position model. The record is from RNAcentral.
AGUGAACGCUGGCGGUAGGCCUAACACAUGCAAGUCGAACGGCAGCACAGUAAGAGCUUGCUCUUACUGGUGGCGAGUGGCGGACGGGUGAGGAAUACAUCGGAAUCUACUUUUUCGUGGGGGAUAACGUAGGGAAACUUACGCUAAUACCGCAUACGACCUACGGGUGAAAGCAGGGGAUCUUCGGACCUUUCGCGAUUGAAUGAGCCGAUGUCGGAUUAGCUAGUUGGCGGGGUAAAGGCCCACCAAGGCGACGAUCCGUAGCUGGUCUGAGAGGAUGAUCAGCCACACUGGAACUGAGACACGGUCCAGACUCCUACGGGAGGCAGCAGUGGGGAAUAUUGGACAAUGGGCGCAAGCCUGAUCCAGCCAUACCGCGUGGGUGAAGAAGGCCUUCGGGUUGUAAAGCCCUUUUGUUGGGAAAGAAAAGCAGCAGGUUAAUACCCCGCUGUUCUGACGGUACCCAAAGAAUAAGCACCGGCUAACUUCGUG